UACGGAGGGUGAAAGCGUUAAUCGGAAUUCCUGGGCGUAAAGCGCGCGUAGGUGGCUUGAUAAGCCGGUUGUGAAAGCCCCGGGCUCAACCUGUGCACGGCAUCCGGAACUGUCAAGCUAGAGUGCAGGAGAGGAAGGUAGAAUUCCCGGUGUAGCGGUGAAAUGCGUAGAGCUCGGGAGGAAUACCAGUGGCGAAGGCGGCCUUCUGGACUGACACUGACGCUGAGGUGCGAAAGCGUGGGUAGCAAACAGG
RNAcentral lists this unclassified non-coding RNA (253 nucleotides) under uncultured Halomonadaceae bacterium. Its description in RNAcentral is "contains 16S-23S intergenic spacer region". It matches the Rfam family "Bacterial small subunit ribosomal RNA", at positions 524 to 776 of the family's 1533-position model. Lineage: Bacteria; Pseudomonadati; Pseudomonadota; Gammaproteobacteria; Oceanospirillales; Halomonadaceae. The record is from RNAcentral.